CCUACGGGAGGCAGCAGUGAGGAAUAUUGGUCAAUGGACGCAAGUCUGAACCAGCCAUGCCGCGUGCAGGAAGACGGCUCUAUGAGUUGUAAACUGCUUUUGUACGAGGGUAAACGCCGAUACCCGUAUCUGUCUGACAGUCUCGUACGAAUAAGGAUCGGCUAACUCCGCGCCAGCAGCCGCGGUAAUACGGAGGAUCCAAGCGUUAUCCGGAUUCAUUGGGUUUAAAGGGUGAGUAGUCGGUCGGAUAAGUUCGAAGUGAAAUCCCGGGGCUCAACUUCGGAAUUGCCUCUGAUACUGUUCGGCUAGAGAGUAGGUGAGGUAGGCGGAAUGUAUGGUGUAGCGGUGAAAUGCGUAGAGAUCAUACAGAACACCGGUUGCGAAGGCAGCUUACCAAGCUACUUCUGACGUUGAGGCACGAAAGCGUGGGGAGCAAACAGGAUUAGAUACCCCGGUAGUC
This 460-nucleotide ribosomal RNA is filed under the name uncultured bacterium. RNAcentral describes it as "partial 16S ribosomal RNA". It matches the Rfam family "Bacterial small subunit ribosomal RNA", at positions 338 to 795 of the family's 1533-position model. The record is from RNAcentral.